GAUGAACGCUGGCGGCGCGCCUAACACAUGCAAGUCGAACGGUUAAAGCACCUUUUAGGUGUGUAUAAAGUGGCGAACGGCUGAGUAACACGUGGGCAACCUGCCCUCCUCUUGGGGAUAGCCUCGGGAAACCGAGGAUAAUACCCGAUACUUCAAUGUGGCCGCAUGACGACAUUGAGAAAGCUUUUGCGGAGAAGGAUGGGCCCGCGGCCUGUUAGCUUGUUGGUGGGGUAGAGGCCUACCAAGGCAAUGAUGGGUAGCUGGGUUGAGAGACCGACCAGCCAGAUUGGGACUGAGACACGGCCCAGACUCCUACGGGAGGCAGCAGUGGGGAAUCUUGCACAAUGGGCGAAAGCCUGAUGCAGCGACGCCGCGUGCGGGACGAAGGCCUUUCGGGUUGUAAACCGCUUUUCAGCAGGGACGAGGCGAAAGUGACGGUACCUGCAGAAGAAGCCCCGCUAACUACA
This 467-nucleotide ribosomal RNA is filed under the name Lancefieldella rimae. Its description in RNAcentral is "bacterial SSU rRNA". It matches the Rfam family "Bacterial small subunit ribosomal RNA", at positions 28 to 505 of the family's 1533-position model. Lineage: Bacteria; Bacillati; Actinomycetota; Coriobacteriia; Coriobacteriales; Atopobiaceae. The record is from RNAcentral.